CACAAAGACAGUUUGCUUCGCGCGGAUCUCAAUCCAUAACCUUUACUGGUCUCUGUAGAGUCAUUACGACCAUUAGGCUGUGGACUCAGCACUGCUUUAGCUCUUAAGUUAAUACAACCGAGACUUUUUUACUUUCCUAUUGGGAAGGAACAUGUGCAAUUUUAGUGAUUUCUUAGAUCAUUCCAUAAGUAAAUCAAAUAUUCUUUCAAGCCCAGUUAUCAAAAUUGUGUCCUUUGAUACCACGUCUUCCAUCAAACUGCGGAAAACAUGAGGCUGAAGAUUUUAUGACUCUGGAUAUCAGAAAUGGCAACAAUUACCCUCAAAAUCCAAUAAACAAACGUUACAAAACCAGAGAAAUUAUGAUGAUGAAGCCUAAUUGGCUGUAGACAAGCUUUUUUUUUCUUUCCAGUUUCUAAGUGAUAUUGGGUAUCUGCAUUUAUAACAAGAAAGUCCCCAUCUGUGGGUGCAUGCAGUAUCUGUCCCUGGUGUAGCAGAUGGAGGGAACCAUCCAGCAGCAAGGAGACCAGCUCACCACAGGACCCUAUCAUCUCCUUUUAGGGAAGCAGCCAGAGCGCCAGAAAAGAUCAUCCAGAUUUUCAACUUAUUUCGACUCUGCUGUCCAGUAGUCUAACUAAAUUGUUAUGAGAAUUAAAUGAAUUACUAUUUGGGGCUGGCCCGGUUGUGUAGUGGUUAAGUUCACACACUCCACUUCAGCGGCCUGGGGUUUGUGGGCCUGGAUCCUGGGCACAGAUCUACACUGCUCAUCUGGCCAGGCUGUGGUGGUGACCCACAUACAAAAAAU
RNAcentral lists this long non-coding RNA (802 nucleotides) under Equus caballus (horse). RNAcentral's name for it is "lncRNA (ENSECAG00000054563.1)". The record is from RNAcentral. Lineage: Eukaryota; Metazoa; Chordata; Mammalia; Perissodactyla; Equidae.